GGAACUUACCCCCUCCUCCCCCGCUCCCCCACUGUUUCUAAAACGCACGUGAGGCAGCUGGGUUGGCAAUUUGUCAAUGCGUGACGAUUUGUGGUUAGCAAAGAUAAAGUGAUACAGAUCUCCUAUUUACCAACCCGAAAAAGUCCUCGUGCAUGCAAGAAUUUCUCCGAUUGGCGGUGGUGCAGCAAUCUGGAGAAAAAAUAAAAUUAAAUGGAGGUGGACGCUACACGAACUAACAAACAAAACA
Molecule: long non-coding RNA, 247 nt
Filed under: Elaeis guineensis (African oil palm)
Lineage: Eukaryota; Viridiplantae; Streptophyta; Magnoliopsida; Arecales; Arecaceae
Description: long non-coding RNA (EGUI_LNC014636)
Source: RNAcentral